This 1346-nucleotide ribosomal RNA is filed under the name uncultured bacterium. RNAcentral's name for it is "partial 16S ribosomal RNA". It matches the Rfam family "Bacterial small subunit ribosomal RNA", at positions 28 to 1381 of the family's 1533-position model. The record is from RNAcentral.
GACGAACGCUGGCGGCGUGCUUAACACAUGCAAGUCGAACGGAAAGGCCCUGCUUUUGUGGGGCGCUCGAGUGGCGAACGGGUGAGUAACACGUGAGUAACCUGCCCUUGACUUUGGGAUAACUUCAGGAAACUGGGGCUAAUACCGGAUAGGAGCUCCUGCUGCAUGGUGGGGGUUGGAAAGUUUCGGCGGUUGGGGAUGGACUCGCGGCUUAUCAGCUUGUUGGUGGGGUAGUGGCUUACCAAGGCUUUGACGGGUAGCCGGCCUGAGAGGGUGACCGGCCACAUUGGGACUGAGAUACGGCCCAGACUCCUACGGGAGGCAGCAGUGGGGAAUAUUGCACAAUGGGCGGAAGCCUGAUGCAGCAACGCCGCGUGCGGGAUGACGGCCUUCGGGUUGUAAACCGCUUUCGCCUGUGACGAAGCGUGAGUGACGGUAAUGGGUAAAGAAGCACCGGCUAACUACGUGCCAGCAGCCGCGGUGAUACGUAGGGUGCGAGCGUUGUCCGGAUUUAUUGGGCGUAAAGGGCUCGUAGGUGGUUGAUCGCGUCGGAAGUGUAAUCUUGGGGCUUAACCCUGAGCGUGCUUUCGAUACGGGUUGACUUGAGGAAGGUAGGGGAGAAUGGAAUUCCUGGUGGAGCGGUGGAAUGCGCAGAUAUCAGGAGGAACACCAGUGGCGAAGGCGGUUCUCUGGGCCUUUCCUGACGCUGAGGAGCGAAAGCGUGGGGAGCGAACAGGCUUAGAUACCCUGGUAGUCCACGCUGUAAACGGUGGGUACUAGGUGUGGGGUCCAUUCCACGGGUUCCGUGCCGUAGCUAACGCUUUAAGUACCCCGCCUGGGGAGUACGGCCGCAAGGCUAAAACUCAAAGGAAUUGACGGGGCCCCGCACAAGCGGCGGAGCAUGCGGAUUAAUUCGAUGCAACGCGUAGAACCUUACCUGGGUUUGACAUGGAUCGGGAGUGCUCAGAGAUGGGUGUGCCUCUUUUGGGGUCGGUUCACAGGUGGUGCAUGGCUGUCGUCAGCUCGUGUCGUGAGAUGUUGGGUUAAGUCCCGCAACGAGCGCAACCCUUGUUCACUGUUGCCAGCACGUUAUGGUGGGGACUCAGUGGAGACCGCCGGGGUCAACUCGGAGGAAGGUGGGGAUGACGUCAAGUCAUCAUGCCCCUUAUGUCCAGGGCUUCACGCAUGCUACAAUGGCUGGUACAGAGAGUGGCGAGCCUGUGAGGGUGAGCGAAUCUCGGAAAGCCGGUCUCAGUUCGGAUUGGGGUCUGCAACUCGACCUCAUGAAGUCGGAGUCGCUAGUAAUCGCAGAUCAGCAACGCUGCGGUGAAUAAAUUCCCGGGGCU